AGAGUUUGAUCAUGGCUCAGGAUGAACGCUAGCGGCAGGCUUAAUACAUGCAAGUCGAGGGGCAGCGGGGGUAGCAAUACCUGCCGGCGACCGGCAAACGGGUGCGGAACACGUACACAACCUUCCUUUAAGUGGGGGAUAGCCCAGAGAAAUUUGGAUUAAUACCCCGUAAGAUUAUUGAAUGGCAUCAUUUAGUAAUUAAAGCUCCGGCGCUUGGAGAUGGGUGUGCGUCUGAUUAGGUAGUUGGUGAGGGUAACGGCCCACCAAGCCUUCGAUCAGUAACUGGUGUGAGAGCACGACCAGUCACACGGGCACUGAGACACGGGCCCGACUCCUACGGGAGGCAGCAGUAAGGAAUAUUGGUCAAUGGACGCAAGUCUGAACCAGCCAUGCCGCGUGGAGGAUGAAGGUCCUCUGGAUUGUAAACUUCUUUUAUUUGGGAAGAAAGGCAUUUUUUCUAAAGUGUUUGACGGUACCAGAUGAAUAAGCACCGGCUAACUCCGUGCCAGCAGCCGCGGUAAUACGGAGGGUGCAAGCGUUAUCCGGAUUCACUGGGUUUAAAGGGUGCGUAGGUGGGCAGUUAAGUCAGUGGUGAAAUCUCCGGGCUUAACCCGGAAACUGCCAUUGAUACUAUCUGUCUUGAAUAUCGUGGAGGUAAGCGGAAUAUGUCUGUAGCGGUGAAAUGCUUAGAUAUGACAUAGAACACCAAUUGCGAAGGCAGCUUACUACCCGAAUAUUGACACUGAGGCACGAAAGCGUGGGGAUCAAACAGGAUUAGAUACCCUAGUAGUCC
Molecule: ribosomal RNA, 793 nt
Filed under: uncultured bacterium
Lineage: Bacteria
Description: bacterial SSU rRNA
Rfam family: Bacterial small subunit ribosomal RNA
Source: RNAcentral